Molecule: unclassified non-coding RNA, 1113 nt
Filed under: Hevea brasiliensis (rubber tree)
Lineage: Eukaryota; Viridiplantae; Streptophyta; Magnoliopsida; Malpighiales; Euphorbiaceae
Source: RNAcentral
CACUUGAUGUACUCCGUCAUCCCACACUAAAGAAGCAGAGACCAUGAUAGCUUCUAAUUCUAACUUCCCUUCAACAUUGAGAGCAAAAGAUAACUUCUCAUUAAGAGAGGUAAAUGAUAGGAUGCUAGGAUUCACUUGGAUUUUAAAUCCAUGUGGGAAGUCAUUGUAGCUUUGUAUGUGGAAGUUGGUGAGCCAAUAUUUGUGACAAUCCUAUUAUAGACACGGCUAAUGAACUCUGAGGGUGAAAUAGAAAGUGCAAAGGAAGGAUAGUUCAGAUCCCAAACUGUUCCAUUAGUUGAGCAGCUGCUGUUGUCCCCCGUAACCAUUUGUAGAAGACUGCUAUUGUGUCCUUGUCCACACAAAAAUUUUAUGUAGUCGAUUGGCUCUGCAUCGUAGAUCAAUCCUGGAUUAAUAGCCUUAGCAGGAUUUAUAUGUCCAGCGCCAUAUGCAAAUUCAGCUUCAGAGUUGAUUUUAGAAUUCAUUGGAAAAGAUGUAGUCAUAAGAGCAGAUUUGAGGGCAGCAGGAGACCAUGUUGGGUGAUACGAUUUGACAUAAGCAGCAGCCCCAGUUGCAUGCGGGCAAGCCAUUGAAGUUCCUGAGAUUAUAUUAUAUGGUACUCUUCUAUUAUCCUCUGGAAUUUCUGUAACUGAACGAAGUAAUGACCAAGAAGCUAGAAUGUCAACUCCUGGGGCAGAAAUAUCAGGCUUGAGAAUAUCUCGAGUAAUUGGAUUUGGACCUCUUGAUGAAAAUGCAACCACAUAAGGGGCCAAUGAAUUCUUUGCCUGGUUACUUUUAUAUAUAGUGGCAGAUGCGAUUCCUGUUGAGUUUAUGUAGGAAAGAAUGCUGCUACCCUCGUCAUGUCCAAGACAAGAAGCAGGCAAUGGAAAAGACUCAGCAACAUCUUUAGCGCCGUGGUAUUGCGUUACAAUGCCAGCUGCACCAGCCAAGAAUGCAGAUACACCAGAAUCCAGUUCAUCGUAAACAAUUUUGCCCUUCACUAAACUUGAGUCCAAUAACCUGGGCCUAGAACCUGUAAAAUUUCCUUUGGUGUUCGGAGCAUUUUCUCUAUAGAUUAUUGGAAGCAUGGUAUUAUUUAGAUCAAAUGUGUUUAUG